Molecule: ribosomal RNA, 683 nt
Filed under: uncultured bacterium
Lineage: Bacteria
Description: bacterial SSU rRNA
Rfam family: Bacterial small subunit ribosomal RNA
Source: RNAcentral
UGCAGUCGAGCGGGGGAGGUUGGCUUCGGUAACUGACCUAGCGGCGGACGGGUGAGUAAUGCUUAGGAAUCUGCCUAUUAGUGGGGGACAACAUCUCGAAAGGGAUGCUAAUACCGCAUACGUCCUACGGGAGAAAGCAGGGGACCUUCGGGCCUUGCGCUAAUAGAUGAGCCUAAGUCGGAUUAGCUAGUUGGUGGGGUAAAGGCCUACCAAGGCGACGAUCUGUAGCGGGUCUGAGAGGAUGAUCCGCCACACUGGGACUGAGACACGGCCCAGACUCCUACGGGAGGCAGCAGUGGGGAAUAUUGGACAAUGGGCGGAAGCCUGAUCCAGCCAUGCCGCGUGUGUGAAGAAGGCCUUUUGGUUGUAAAGCACUUUAAGCGAGGAGGAGGCUACUGGUAUUAAUACUACCGGAUAGUGGACGUUACUCGCAGAAUAAGCACCGGCUAACUCUGUGCCAGCAGCCGCGGUAAUACAGAGGGUGCGAGCGUUAAUCGGAUUUACUGGGCGUAAAGCGUGCGUAGGCGGCUUUUUAAGUCGGAUGUGAAAUCCCUGAGCUUAACUUAGGAAUUGCAUUCGAUACUGGGAGGCUAGAGUAUGGGAGAGGAUGGUAGAAUUCCAGGUGUAGCGGUGAAAUGCGUAGAGAUCUGGAGGAAUACCGAUGGCGAAGGCAGCCAUCUGGC